UUUUUUCCUUCGCCAUUUUUUUCCUCCUCCAUCCGCUCCGCCCGGCGCCCACUCCCCCUCGGAAUCCUUCGCCCGCUCUUCGCUAUAUUGUCCGCCAACCUCUUCUGCCCCCUCCCGCUGCCCGCCUCCCCUGCUGCCGCCACCCCCCUCCUCCAGAAUACCUCCUCCUCGACGACGACUCCCCGUCGCGUCCCUCGCGCCGCUGUGGCCACACCUCAUCGCCUACAACAUCCUGUCGGCGUCGAUGUUGGGGGCGGACCAGGCCUCCCUCCGCAAGCACGCCGAACGCGGGUUCCUAUCUGGGCUGGCGGCGCUGUUUUUGUUGGAGGACCAGCGGGAGCGCGACCGGCUGAAGGAGCUUCCCUCGCCCACCUCAAGAUCGCCGUCCGAGUCUUACUCUCCGGCGAGGGAGAUGAGAGCGUCCAAAAAAUAUAAUUUUUUAAGAUCCCUACGAAGAAGGUGGGACGCGGGCCCCGGGUGGCAAAGGCAGCGAAGUGUGGCGCGACGGAGCAGAGAAGGUAGGAUGCGGCAGCAGCAACAGCGCGGGUGGCGACAGCGGCGAGGGUAGCGGCCGCGGCAUCAUGUGGGAUGCGGGCCCCUGGUGGCAGCGGUAGCAGAGCGUGGCGCAGCGGAGCGGAGAAAGUGGGAUGUGGCAGCGGCAACGGCGUGGGUGGCAGCAGCGGCGCGGGUGGAAGGAUCAGGGGGAGCGCGGUGGGGUCGGACUGAGAGGAGGAGGAAGGAGGGGAGGCGGGGUUGGUAGUAGAGGUAAGCGAACGCAAGCGCGGCGGCGGGGGUGCAGCAGAGGGCGCAACGGCGGGUGGCGGAAGAAAAAGAAUAG
Long non-coding RNA from Ananas comosus (pineapple), 838 nucleotides. RefSeq lists it as uncharacterized. NCBI's taxonomy places the organism in Eukaryota, Viridiplantae, Streptophyta, Magnoliopsida, Poales, Bromeliaceae. The record is from RefSeq and is a predicted model, not a curated record. The transcript is spliced from 2 exons.